This 108-nucleotide small RNA is filed under the name Salipiger mucosus. RNAcentral's name for it is "Guanidine-I sequence". It matches the Rfam family "Guanidine-I riboswitch aptamer". From Rfam's summary of the family: This family represents a conserved RNA structure found upstream of the ykkC and yxkD genes in Bacillus subtilis and related genes in other bacteria. Lineage: Bacteria; Pseudomonadati; Pseudomonadota; Alphaproteobacteria; Rhodobacterales; Roseobacteraceae. RNAcentral also lists the same sequence under 1 other name. The record is from RNAcentral.
GGGCAGCGUGCUUAGGGUUCCGUUCGCCACGGCGAAGCCUGGUCCGAGAAGCACAACCUGCCCGGCAAAUUCCGGGCGGGCACACGGCGGGCCAAAAUCCCGGGAGAU